AAAAUUGAAAAGUCUACUACUGCAGAAUAAAGCAGAAAUAAUCUUGUUUUGAUGCUCAAAAACAAAGUUUUAAUUUGAUCCUUCUACUCUCUUUUCUUAUAUAAUACCUCUUAUAAUUCGAUUCAAUCAGCACUUUCUUAAAUAGUAUACUAAAAAAUAUGAAAUAAUCGUUAUACUUUAAAAACUUAAAACUAGUAGAUAAUGGUGUUUUUAUAUUUUUAUAUUUAACACUCUCCAUUAUGUCAGUUCAAAAUAUGGAUUUGAAUUAAAUAUGAGAAAAUUACUUAUGUUAGAAAUCUGACGUGACUCGAACUCAAAACAUUCUAUGCUGAUACCAUAUUAAAGAAUAUGAAACGAUUUAUUAUACUCUAAAGCCUUAAACCAGUAAAAAAAAAAAAGAUACUUUUAUAUU
This 412-nucleotide long non-coding RNA is filed under the name Ananas comosus (pineapple). Its description in RNAcentral is "long non-coding RNA (ACOM_LNC001311)". Lineage: Eukaryota; Viridiplantae; Streptophyta; Magnoliopsida; Poales; Bromeliaceae. The record is from RNAcentral.